UACAAGCUCUGCUAAAACUGCUUAUUGAAAUUUCUGAUACUUUAUAUUCUCUGAAAGAUCGAUAUAAGUCUAUCUAUUUUUGUUGGUAAAAGAAAAAAAAUCAGAAUUUGACUAAACUCUGAUGAUUCCACUAUUCAGUUUUGAAGUUCAACAAAUAAACCAUUAACUCGGGAUGUUAUGUUGGAAGCAAUAGAUAAAAGGGGAGGGACGUUAUCGGAGCUAAGCCUGCAACAUAUUGGGUGACCUUAAUUUUGGUGUAGCUGGUGUAAUUUUGAUAUUUAAUAUCUUUAUUUGUUGGACUUUUUAAAUUUCUCAUCCUUAAUACUUCAUACAUAACCGAUUUACAUUCUUAUUCAUUGGAUUGUUCAAUGUCUUAUCUCAAUGCCUUCAUUUUCUCACCAUUUUCAGUUUUCUCCAUCUUUCGGACUUGGUAGCUAGCCGUCUUCGUUGAUGUGCUGCUUGGACAUGGACCAUGAGGUUUUAUCUAAUGAACGCAAGUCUCACUCCUUAAUCUUUUGAAUGAGCUCCUUAAAAAAUUAAUUAGGUGUUAGCGCGGGACGAGCCUGAAAAAAAAAAGAAAAACUGCGACUUAUGGUCUUUGAAGAGUUGUACAAGAGGGUCCCUUUUGGCUCACAUCGUAUUUCAUGUUUUGAUAGCCUAAGGUGAGAGCGAAGCGGUCUUUGCAACAUCAAUGAAAGGCUUCAUCUGAAUCAGGUGGCUUCAGCAUAUAUGAAACCUGUCGGACGAGGAAGACUUGAUAGCAUUAACAAAGCUGCACCUGAGAUUUGCAGCCAGAGUUUGUAUCUUGACAGUGCCAAUGCAACACCAAUAUUGUGUGGAAGCCGUAAUCAGGCAUUUGAGAGAUAUUUGAUAGGGCAGCGAACCAGUUGGAGGAAUAACCAUAGUUCUGGGAGGCGACAUCUGACAAACUUUUCCAGUGGUAGAAAAAAGCGGACGUGACAGAUUUCCGGGCAUCUCUGAGGAGCAAUUCUUUGGAAUAAUGACGGUGUACUGAGACUGACACAGAACAUAAACCAAAACUUUGAAAAGUAUACAGUUUGUAAAAUUCCUACUAGAGAACUCGAGGUUGCAGCGUUAUAAUAAAAGAGCAUAAAAAUAAUUCUGUUGCAUAGGAAGGAAAAUUUCAACCUGUAUAAUUUAGACGGAUUUGACUACUGUGAAGUAGGGGUAUAACUAAAUUUUAUACUCCCAACAGUUCUGACCUUCAGAUUAUUUGCAAGAGGUUCCAGGUCCGGGAAAAAGGAAAUGCAGGGGGAUGGGUACAAGCGUCAGAAGGCUUUGCAGAGACCUAAGAAAGCUAUAUGUAUCUAUAACGUGAUAUUUGGUUGAUUGGUAUAGUUUACAAUUUUACAUUCGUUAGUAUAUACAGUGAAGAUUGAGAUGAUAUUUACAAAGAGAUUAACAUUAGAGAUUGGAAAAUUAGUAUACUUUUACUGAAAUGAGUACGGAAUAUCACUUAU
Papaver somniferum (opium poppy) is the source of this 1481-nucleotide long non-coding RNA. RefSeq lists it as uncharacterized. Lineage: Eukaryota; Viridiplantae; Streptophyta; Magnoliopsida; Ranunculales; Papaveraceae. The transcript is spliced from 5 exons. The record is from RefSeq and is a predicted model, not a curated record.